CCUACGGGAGGCAGCAGUAAGGAAUCUUGCGCAAUGGGCGAAAGCCUGACGCAGCGACGCCGCGUGGGCGAUGAAGGCCUUCGGGUUGUAAAGCCCUUUUCUGGGGGACGAGGAAGGACGGUACCCCAGGAAUAAGUCACGGCUAACUACGUGCCAGCAGCCGCGGUAAAACGUAGGUGGCAAGCGUUGUCCGAAGUUACUGGGCGUAAAGCGCGCGUAGGCGGGCUGUUAAGUCAGAUGUGAAAUCUCCGCGGCUCAACCGGGAAAGGGCAUCUGAGACUGGCAGUCUUGAGCUGUGGAGAGGGAAGUGAAAUUCCUGGUGUAGCGGUGAAAUGCGUAGAUAUCAGGAGGAACACCCGUGGCGAAGGCGGCUUCCUGGCCACAAGCUGACGCUGAGGUGCGAAAGCCAGGGGAGCGAACGGGAUUAGAUCCC
RNAcentral lists this ribosomal RNA (433 nucleotides) under uncultured bacterium. RNAcentral describes it as "partial 16S ribosomal RNA". It matches the Rfam family "Bacterial small subunit ribosomal RNA", at positions 338 to 786 of the family's 1533-position model. The record is from RNAcentral.